This 320-nucleotide unclassified non-coding RNA is filed under the name plant metagenome. RNAcentral describes it as "partial contains 5.8S ribosomal RNA, internal transcribed spacer 2, and large subunit ribosomal RNA". The stretch from base 1 to 105 matches the Rfam family "5.8S ribosomal RNA", at positions 50 to 154 of the family's 154-position model. The record is from RNAcentral.
GAAAUGCGAUAAGUAAUGUGAAUUGCAGAAUUCAGUGAAUCAUCGAAUCUUUGAACGCACAUUGCGCCCGCCAGUAUUCUGGCGGGCAUGCCUGUUCGAGCGUCGUUACAACCCUCAGGCCCCCGGGCCUGGCGUUGGGGAUCGGCGGAAGCCCCCUGCGGGCACAACGCCGUCCCCCAAAUACAGUGGCGGUCCUGCCGCAGCUUCCAUUGCGUAGUAGCUAACACCUCGCAACUGGAGAGCGGCGCGGCCACGCCGUAAAACACCCAACUUCUGAAUGUUGACCUCGAAUCAGGUAGGAAUACCCGCUGAACUUAAGC